GUCCAGACGGCCCAUGCCUCCAUCCACACGAUGGAAAGCACAACAGAUUGUGCUAAAAAUACCUCCACACAGACUCAACGCAGGGUCUUCAGAAUCAACCAGCCCAAUGAAAAGACCUGCUAUCAGCAUCUUCUCACGGCAGCAGCAUAUUUCUCAGUGGCAUGGUGAUUUUUUUUUAGACAUCCCUGCAUCUCAAGCUGAAAUCAUUACCACCCACGUACCACAAUACGCCCAUAUCACCGUGUUGCUCUCGCUCAAACACAUGAGCACCUUCUUCCGUUUGCUGUGGUCUGUGUGCGCUCAUGAGAAUAACACGGCAAAGGAUUAAAAUCGCACUCCGGCUCUGGAUGCCCGUGCUCAUGCUAAGGAUUGUGAUGUCGCAGCAAGGGGACGACAUACUUUGCAAGGAGCAGGCUCUCGACCGGGUACUUAACCAGUCCCAUGCCAUCAUCCUAUGGUCUAACAUGAAUGGCACAGAUGUGCUGGAGUACCAUGGAAAUGAGGGGGAAGGUAUGGGCUGCUGCGUGCAUGUUCCCAAGGAGGUCAUCUUGCAACGGAUGGAGAAGGGCCUGAUGGGCAGCCAGCAUCUGUCAGAGAGCACUGAAGCCUUGGAAGGAUGAUUUGUGUACAAGAAGGCUCUGAAACUUGACAAGGAACCCCUGAAGACUGGUGAGGUUUCCUGCUAUCAAGCAAGAAAAAGAAAGGCCAACAGUCACAGAGUGUCCCGUUCAUUUCCGGCAUUGCAAACAAAAAAUUUUGAUAUAUAACUGAGAUGAGAAUUGCUUCACCUUUCUUUCCCCUCCAGUUUUUACUGAAUGAGAAAAUAAACUGCACUGACUACAUUCCUCUCCUUUUUCU
RNAcentral lists this long non-coding RNA (858 nucleotides) under Scleropages formosus (Asian bonytongue). RNAcentral's name for it is "lncRNA (ENSSFOG00015026256.1)". Lineage: Eukaryota; Metazoa; Chordata; Actinopteri; Osteoglossiformes; Osteoglossidae. The record is from RNAcentral.